Non-coding RNA from Odocoileus virginianus texanus, 563 nucleotides. NCBI's taxonomy places the organism in Eukaryota, Metazoa, Chordata, Mammalia, Artiodactyla, Cervidae. The record is from RefSeq and is a predicted model, not a curated record.
CGGCCAUUAGCAGACCAUUCAGUCAACGGUUGGUGGAGUGGUGGUUGUCAGGCGGGGAGUGAGAGCUGCUCUGUCCUGCCUGCUGCCUGCCUGGUACCAUAGAGUCUUGUUGCUGUGUGGCUGGGGCGGGAGCUCUCACGUCUCGGGGCCUGCAGGCGUCCUGAAGAUGGACUGACCGCCAAGUGAGGGUUGUUGGCUUCUCGACAGGGGGAAGGAAUUCAAAGAGCCAGCCAAGGAAAAGCGAAGUUCAAGUUCAAGGGAAGUAGUGAUGCUCAUUGUCCUUGUAGGAGUUCACGUGGUAUGAAGAAGCACCGUGGGAAGAGUCUACCAGUAGCCACCACUGUCAGUAGUCUUAGGGCCUCUGGAUGAUUUUCUCCUUCAGCAGCACUACCUCCAAGCAGGUCCUGAGGAGACCAGCUCCAUCCGGCAUGAACUGGACACCACAAGGUCCCAAAGCUGAAGCCCCGUCAGGUCCUGAGGACCCCCAACUUCCAUUAGCGUUAACCCCACUCUCCUGUCUUUUCAUUCAUGUUUCUCCUUUAAUUUUUUCCCUCCUUCCCUCC